GUUGAUCCUGCGGGAGGUUGCUGCUAUGGGGAUUCGAUUAAGCCAUGCAAGUCUUCUCGCAAGAGAGGCGACAUGCUCAGUAACACGUCGUUAACGUGCCCUCUGGUCAGGGAUACCUACGGGAAACUGUGGUUAAUACCUGAUAGGAGAUGCAGCCUGGAAUGGCGCAUCUUUUCAAACUCGUGCCAGAGGAUCGGACGGCGGCGGAUUAGGUAGUUGGCGGUGUAACGGACCACCAAGCCAGAGAUCCGUACGGGCCAUGAGAGUGGUAGCCCGGAGAGGGACACUGAGAUACUGGUCCCAGCCCUACGGGGUGCAGCAGGCGCGAAACCUUUCCAAUGCACGCAAGUGUGAGAAGGGAAUCCCCAGUGCUCAUGGUUUCCAUGGGCUUUUGCCAAGUGUAAAUAGCUUGGAGAAUAAGUGGUGGGUAAGACUGGUGCCAGCCGCCGCGGUAACCCCAGCGCCACGAGUGGCAACCGCGUUUAUUGGGCCUAAAGCGUCCGUAGCCGGUCCUGUACAUCCUUUGUGAAAUUGUCCGGCUUAACCGGACAGCGCGCAAGGGACACGGCAGGGCUUGAGACCGGGAGGAGUCAGAAGUAUUCCUGAGGGAGCGGUAAAAUGUUAUAAUCUCAGGAGGACUACCUGUGGCGAAGGCGUCUGACCAGAACGGAUCUGACGGUGAGGGACGAAAGCUAGGGGAGCGAACCGGAUUAGAUACCCGAGUAGUCCUAGCCGUAAACGCUGUGAGCUAGGUGUUGCGUCAACUACAUGUUGGCGCAGUGUCGAAAGGAAGCUGUUAAGCUCACCGCCUGGGAAGUACGGUCGCAAGACUGAAACUUUAAGGAAUUGGCGGGGGAGCACCACAAGGGGUGCGGCGUGCGGUUUAAUCCAACUCAACGCGGAGAACCUUACUAGAAGCGACGGCAGGAUGAAGGCCAGCUUGAAGAGUUUGCCUGACGAGCCGAGAGGUGGUGCAUGGCCGUCGUCAGCUCGUGCUGUGAAGUGUCCAGCUAAGCCUGGCAACGAGCGAGACCUGUAUCCGCAAUUGCUAACAGCGACAUGUCGGACUGAGCACUUUGCGGAGACUGCCCGGGAAACCGGGAGGAAGGUGCAGGCUACGGUAGGUCUGUAUGCCCCGAAUCUUCUAGGCUACACGCGCGCAACAAUGGUAGGGACAAUGGGAUGCAACUCCGAAAGGAGAAGCUAAACCUCUAAACCCUAUCCAAGUCCAGAUUGAGGGUUGCAACUCACCCUCAUGACGUCGGAAUCCCUAGUAAUCAGAAGUCAUCAUCUUCUGGUGAAUAUGUCCCUGCUCCUUGCACACACCGCCCGUCAAAUCAACCGAGCAGGGUUUAGGUAAAGCCCGGUUUCUUGAUCGUGCUGAAUCUAAGCUCAGUGAGGUGGGUUAAGUCGUCACAAGGUA
This 1423-nucleotide ribosomal RNA is filed under the name metagenome. Its description in RNAcentral is "bacterial SSU rRNA". It matches the Rfam family "Archaeal small subunit ribosomal RNA". The record is from RNAcentral.